AGCUCCAAUAGCGUAUAUUAAAGUUGCUGCAGUUAAAAAGCUCGUAGUUGCAUUUCCGAGGCAAGGGAUUAGUCCGACCUUUGGUGGGUAUUUAAUCCUCUUGCCUCGUCCUUGAGUGGUGCUUCUUGGUAUUAAGUUAUCGAGGAGAUAGCCGCUCAUCGUUUACUGUGAGAAAAUUAGAGUGUUCAAAGCAGGCUUAUGCCGUUGAAUAUAUUAGCAUGGAAUAAUAAGAUAGGACCUCGGUACUAUGUUGUUGGUUUGAGAACCAAGGUAAUGAUGAAUAGGGACAGUUGGGGGUAUUCGUAUUCAGUUGUCAGAGGUGAAAUUCUUAGAUUUACGGAAGACGAACUACUGCGAAAGCAUUUACCAAGGAUGUUUGCA
RNAcentral lists this ribosomal RNA (381 nucleotides) under uncultured marine Chaetocerotaceae. RNAcentral describes it as "SSU rRNA". It matches the Rfam family "Eukaryotic small subunit ribosomal RNA", at positions 587 to 972 of the family's 1831-position model. The record is from RNAcentral. Lineage: Eukaryota; Bacillariophyta; Thalassiosirophyceae; Chaetocerotales; Chaetocerotaceae.